GCCUUCGUGGUUUAACGGUAGCACACUCGGCACGUAUUCGAGAGGUCCGUGGCUCGAGUCCCGGCGAAGGCA
This 72-nucleotide transfer RNA is filed under the name Stegodyphus mimosarum. It matches the Rfam family "tRNA". Rfam says of the family: Transfer RNA (tRNA) molecules are approximately 80 nucleotides in length. Their secondary structure includes four short double-helical elements and three loops (D, anti-codon, and T loops). The record is from Rfam by way of RNAcentral. Lineage: Eukaryota; Metazoa; Arthropoda; Arachnida; Araneae; Eresidae.